GACGAACGCUGGCGGCGUGCCUAAUACAUGCAAGUAGAACGCACAGUUUAUACCGUAGCUUGCUACACCAUAGACUGUGAGUUGCGAACGGGUGAGUAACGCGUAGGUAACCUGCCUGGUAGCGGGGGAUAACUAUUGGAAACGAUAGCUAAUACCGCAUAAUAUUAAUUAUUGCAUGAUAAUUGAUUGAAAGGUGCAAUUGCACCACUACCAGAUGGACCUGCGUUGUAUUAGCUAGUAGGUGAGGUAACGGCUCACCUAGGCGACGAUACAUAGCCGACCUGAGAGGGUGAUCGGCCACACUGGGACUGAGACACGGCCCAGACUCCUACGGGAGGCAGCAGUAGGGAAUCUUCGGCAAUGGACGAAAGUCUGACCGAGCAACGCCGCGUGAGUGAAGAAGGUUUUCGGAUCGUAAAGCUCUGUUGUAAGAGAAGAACGGGUGUGAGAGUGGAAAGUUCACACUGUGACGGUAUCUUACCAGAAAGGGACGGCUAACUACGUGCCAGCAGCCGCGGUAAUACGUAGGUCCCGAGCGUUGUCCGGAUUUAUUGGGCGUAAAGCGAGCGCAGGCGGUUAGAUAAGUCUGAAGUUAAAGGCUGUGGCUUAACCAUAGUACGCUUUGGAAACUGUUUAACUUGAGUGCAGAAGGGGAGAGUGGAAUUCCAUGUGUAGCGGUGAAAUGCGUAGAUAUAUGGAGGAACACCGGUGGCGAAAGCGGCUCUCUGGUCUGUAACUGACGCUGAGGCUCGAAAGCGUGGGGAGCGAACAGG
RNAcentral lists this ribosomal RNA (773 nucleotides) under uncultured Streptococcus sp. RNAcentral describes it as "bacterial SSU rRNA". It matches the Rfam family "Bacterial small subunit ribosomal RNA", at positions 28 to 776 of the family's 1533-position model. The record is from RNAcentral. Lineage: Bacteria; Bacillati; Bacillota; Bacilli; Lactobacillales; Streptococcaceae.